This 70-nucleotide transfer RNA is filed under the name Marmota monax (woodchuck). RNAcentral describes it as "tRNA.Leu". Lineage: Eukaryota; Metazoa; Chordata; Mammalia; Rodentia; Sciuridae. The record is from RNAcentral.
GAGUUGCAGCUCAGUGGUAGAGUGCUUGCCUCAAAUGUGUGGGGCACUGGGUUCAAUCCUCAGCACCACA